This 1577-nucleotide long non-coding RNA is filed under the name Rattus norvegicus (Norway rat). Its description in RNAcentral is "long non-coding RNA NONRATT017754". The record is from RNAcentral. Lineage: Eukaryota; Metazoa; Chordata; Mammalia; Rodentia; Muridae.
CGGCCGCCCAGCCCCCGCUUCCUUUCACGCUAUCGGUGGCCGUAGGUGGUCGUGGCCACCGCACCCGGCGGGAGGUGGCGGCGGCCAGUAAUGCCCGGGAAACUCCUCUGGGGAGACAUCAUGGAGCUCGAGGCACCCUUGGAAGAGUCCGAGAGCCAGAGGAAGGAGCGGCAAAAGGUGCGCUGCGGCUGGGCCGCGCCUCCCUCGGGCUGCGCUGGCCUGGGCGGGGAGGGGAGCGGUCUCUGAAGGGGACGACCUGUCAGGACCGGGCGCGAGCUUCCGAGGGACAGCUUCCCCUCGCCGUGCUCGGCCCUCCGAGGUCCCAGGGACCAUCCCCAUCGCCACACUCCCGGACCUGGAGGAGAACAGACCUAGGCUUCGGCCCGGCUUCCGUGGCACUUCAGCCGGACGUCGGCCUUUGCGCCUGGAUCUCUCCCAAGAGAUGGGCAGACUUGAGCUCCCAUCGCCGUGGAAUCUGCUCAUUUUCCCUUUCUUCGGCGGCGAGUCCCUUCAUUUGGUUUUCCAGGGCCUUCGAAGAGUUGACAGAAAGAUGAUGGCUUUGCCUAUGUGUUGCUUCUCUGUCGCGGUGUCGUGUCUGCAGCAGUCUCGGGAAAGGCUAUCCUAGGGUUACAAACCUCCAUGAUUGGGUAAUAGAGGCUUAAGGAAUAGUGUCACACAGCCAGGCUUACCAGGGUUUGGCUGUGAUGGAGUUCUUGGGGGUUGUAUUAUGAAUAGCCCUUACUGUCAGUAUUUUCAAUCCACAGGUAUUUAUUGAGGCUAAUUGUGCCAGACUCUUUGCUGAGUUCCAAGGAGCUUAAACUAAUUAAGUAUGCAAAAUGGUCCCUGCCCACCAGGAGCCUGUAGAGGAAUUUUUAGAGGCUCUAUCCCCACCUCCGUCUGAAAAAUAAAAAAAGGAAGAAAAAAACAAAAAGCCCAGAAAAAUAGAGGAUCUUAAGGUGCUAAGAAAAAUGCACAGAGCUUUAUGGAUUUCGGAAUUUCGGAUAAGGGAUUAUGGACCUGUACUUCCCUGAUAGGGUUGUUAUGAAGAUUAAAACAAGAUAAGACGAAAACAUUACACAAUAAUGGAAUGAUAGAAGGAAGUCAAGGCACCAUUCUGAAUCAGAGGAGAGAACAGAAACAAGAGAAAAUGGUGUUACAGAUGACCUGGAUGCUCCCAAGCCCAAAAAAGCUAAAACGAGAGAGAAGCUAAAUGGAGACACCAAAGAAGGACUUAGAUUUUCAGAUGAAUUUUCCCCAUCUCAUAAGUCAAGAAGAAAAGACCUGCCAAAUGGAGAUGUGGAUGAGUAUGAGAAAAGGUCUAAACGAGUGUCAUCCUCAGAAAACUCUCACAAGUCAAGUGAUAAAGCAGAUGAGACUCUAACACGUGAGCAAAAGGAAGGAGCCUUCUCUAAUUUCUCCAUUUCUGAGGAGACCAUAAAGCUUCUGAAAGGUCGAGGGGUAACAUAUCUCUUUCCUAUUCAAGUUAAAACCUUUGGCCCUGUCUAUGAAGGAAAAGACUUAAUUGCUCAAGCCCGGACAGGAACAGGAAAGACAUUCUCUUUUGCCAUACCCUUGAU